ACGAACGCUGGCGGCGUGCUUCACACCUGCAAGUCGAACGGAAAGGCCCUGCUUUUGUGGGGUGCUCGAGUGGCGAACGGGUGAGUAACACGUGAGUAACCUGCCCCUGACUUUGGGAUAACUUCAGGAAACUGGGGCUAAUACCGGAUAGGAGCUCCUGCUGCAUGGUGGGGGUUGGAAAGUUUCGGCGGUUGGGGAUGGACUCGCGGCUUAUCAGCUUGUUGGUGGGGUAGUGGCUUACCAAGGCUUUGACGGGUAGCCGGCCUGAGAGGGUGACCGGCCACAUUGGGACUGAGAUACGGCCCAGACUCCUACGGGAGGCAGCAGUGGGGAAUAUUGCACAAUGGGCGGAAGCCUGAUGCAGCAACGCCGCGUGCGGGAUGACGGCCUUCGGGUUGUAAACCGCUUUCGCCUGUGACGAAGCGUGAGUGACGGUAAUGGGUAAAGAAGCACCGGCUAACUACGUG
This 467-nucleotide ribosomal RNA is filed under the name uncultured bacterium. RNAcentral describes it as "partial 16S ribosomal RNA". It matches the Rfam family "Bacterial small subunit ribosomal RNA", at positions 29 to 507 of the family's 1533-position model. The record is from RNAcentral.